AGUGGAUGGGGAGCAACCUAGUUGUGCGUGUGUAAAGGUAGUGCCAAGAAAAGCGAUGAUCAUGUUGAAAAUCAAUUCCCGGUACCCGAAACCGACACAGGUGGGCAAGUAGAGAAUACUAAGGGGCGCGAGGUAACUCUCUCCAAGGAACUCGGCAAAAUGACCCCGUAACUUAGGGAGAAGGGGUGCCACCGAGAGGUGGUCGCAGUGAAGAGGCCCAGGCGACUGUUUAGCAAAAAACAUAGGUCUCUGCAAACUCGAAAGAGGAGGUAUAGGGGCUGACGCCUGCCCAGUGCCGGAAGGUUAGAGAAGUUGGUCAGUUUUAGGAUGAAGCUAGCGACUGAAGCCCCGGUGAACGGCGGCCGUAACUAUAACGGUCCUAAGGUAGCGAAAUUCCUUGUCGGGUAAGUUCCGACCCGCACGAAAGGCGUAACGAUCUGGGCGCUGUCUCGGAGAGAGGCUCGGCGAAAUAGGAUUGUCUGUGAAGAUACGGACUACCUGCAUUUGGACAGAAAGACCCUAUGAAGCUAUACUAUAGCUUGGAAUUGUGUUCGGGCUUCCUGUGCGCAGGAUAGGUGGGAGGCGUAGAAGGUAUUCUUGUGGGGAUACUGGAGCCAACGGUGAGAUACCACUCUCAGGAGGCUAGAAUUCUAACUUAAUUAAGGACAGUUUCAGGUGGGUAGUUUUGACUGGGGCGGUCGCCUCCAAAAAGGUAACGGAGGCGUACAAAGGUUCCCUCAGACUGGUUGGAAAUCAGUCGAAGAGUGCAAAGGCAGAAGGGAGCUUGACUGCGAGAAGUACAGUUCGAGCAGGGUGGAAACACGGUCUUAGUGAUCCGACGGUGCUGUGUGGAAGGGCCGUCGCUCAACGGAUAAAAGUUACUCUAGGAUAACAGGCUGAUCUCCCCCAAGAGUUCACAUCGACGGGGAGGUUUGGCACCUCGAUGUCGGCUCAUCGCAACCUGGGGCGGAAGUACGUCCCAAGGGUUGGGCUGUUCGCCCAUUAAAGCGGUACGUGAGCUGGGUUCAGAACGUCGUGAGACAGUUCGGUCCAUAUCCGAUGUAGGCGUGAGAAUAUUGAGAGGAGCCUUCCUUAGUACGAGAGGACCGGGAAGGACGCACCGCUGGUGUACCUGUUAUGAUGCCAAUUGUAAACGCAGGGUAGCCAAGUGCGGAGAGGAUAACCGCUGAAAGCAUCUAAGUGGGAAGCCCACCUCAAGAUGAGUAUUCUGGUGUAAGGUCACGGGAAGACGACCGUAAAUAGGCACGAGGUGGAAGUGCAGAGAUGUAUGAAGCCGAAGUGUACUAAUAGACCGUCGGCUUGACC
This 1326-nucleotide ribosomal RNA is filed under the name metagenome. RNAcentral describes it as "bacterial LSU rRNA". It matches the Rfam family "Bacterial large subunit ribosomal RNA", at positions 1561 to 2925 of the family's 2925-position model. The record is from RNAcentral.